Long non-coding RNA from Hippocampus comes (tiger tail seahorse), 913 nucleotides. RefSeq lists it as uncharacterized. The record is from RefSeq and is a predicted model, not a curated record. NCBI's taxonomy places the organism in Eukaryota, Metazoa, Chordata, Actinopteri, Syngnathiformes, Syngnathidae. The transcript has 2 exons.
GGCAAUGGCCCGAUUAUUGUGGUCCUGCGAGACACCAAUGCGUCAAUUUCCUCGAUGUCAACAUCAGCAACAUUUUUUCCCCCUUUGGAUUCAUACAUACCCAGCCGGGAUAUGCUCCAGCACGCUACGCAAACCGAGUGGGGAUUUGCGGUUUGGAAAAUGGACGGAUGAUGGAGUUAUACCAAUGACACGGUACAUUGGCAAAAUGGCUGAUUUUUUUGGGGGGGAUUUUGUGCCAAAUGUGAACUAUUAGUUGUAAUUGAAACCAGUCAAGAGUUUUAGCUAUUUUUGCUCUGUUUGCUAUUUCAAAGGGGAGAACAACUAUCGACUGAAUACGUUUGAAAUGUUUGCAUGUCGAUUAUUCGGGUCAAUAUUUGAAGCAUUUUGUUUUCACAUGCGUACUCGACUGCAUAAUUCAUGUGUACGCAUUCAAAUUAUUUCUUUGUCUUUUGAGAUCACAUGAAUUGCCCGAUCCUCUUUCACAUCUGAUGCUCGGGUCAGUCAAAGGCUGCAAUCAGCACUUAAUGGAGCAUGUGUCUGCCAACGUGUCCUUCGUAUUUAAACUAGAGCGGGCACAUCCCACCAUAUUUAGUUGAACAGUUGUCCAAAGGCUCACCUGCACAACUCCAACAGAAUGACCGGAACACAGCGUCCCAAUGUACGCCAGUCCCACCGUUGCUCCCUCAAAGUCAAUCCCACUGGAGACAAAUGGAAAAAAAACAAAUACAAACAAACAUCUUUUGAACAGAGGGUAGGUUUUCCCAACCUCAUCCUUUUUAAAAAUAGGAUGGGAUUGUAUUCAUUGGAAUUAGAAUUUUUUAAUAUUUCCCAUGUGAGCUCAAUAAAGCGAGACUGGCUGUCUGUUGUCAUAUAUUAUGUUUGUGAAAAGUAAAAUUUGAGUGUGUGUAGGACA